UAGUAUAAGGGAACUCAAGGGAAAAACAAAACAAAACAAAAACUAUUUUAAGACUUUUGAACUUUGACCAGAUAUUGACACUUAAUACGAAAUUCCAGACAGCUGUGAUUAUUUUUUACUUUUUGUCAUUUUUCAUCAACAACAGAGGACCAACGAAACAAGAACACAAAUGUGAAAUCAUGGGCUCACUGAAAUGAAUAUGUCCAUGUACAGAUCCUCUGGAAAAAAAAAAAAAAAAAAAAAAAAAAAAAAGACUCCAAGAGUUAUAACUACUGUAGUAUAAACAUAGGAACUAAGUUAACUUGUACAUUUCUGUUGAUCACUCCGUUACGUUGCCUCAAAUAGUUUUAGAAGAAAAAAAAAUCCUUGUUUUCCACACUAUGUGUGUUGUUCCCAAAAGAAUGACUGUUUUGGUUCAGCAGUGAAGUCACUAUCCAUGAAAGACCUGUUUUGGCCAGUGAGAAAAGAACUACCCUGGAGAUGAAGACAAAAAGUCUUGCUGGGUCUCUCAUCACUCGGAAGACUGUUCCAAGAAGGCCUUGCCAUUCCCUCGUUUUGUUCCUUCAUAAAAUGUGUCCUUUAGUUUCAAACAGAUCUUUAUAGUUUGUGCUUCAUUAAGUCUCUCCCCAUUCCUCCCCAGUCUUUUUUUUUUUUUUUUUUUUUUUGGACUCUUCUUCAAAGAGCUUGCAGGUGAAGAUUUAAAAGACAGAACUGAACAGACAGAGCAGGAGCUUCUUCCAGUAGUUCUGAGCCUUGGCUUUGGACAAAACAUAACUAAAAGUUGGGCAGCUUUCCUCAAUGAAAGAAGUUACUAACGGUCUUUGCACCAAACCUAGAACUUUAUCAUGAACUCAAAGCUUGGGAAAAAAAAGCAAGAGAAUACUGUAACAAACUUCGUACAGAGUUCGGUCUAUUAAUUGUUUCAUGUUAGAUAUUCUAUGUGUUUACCUCAAUUGAAAAAAAAAAAAAAGAAUGUUUUUGCUAGUAUCAGAUCUGCUGUGGAAUUGGUAUUGUAUGUCCAUGAAUUCUUCCUUUCUCAGCACGUGUUCCUCACUAGAAGAAAAUGCUGUUACCUUUAAGCUUUGUCAAAAUUUACAUUAAAAUACUUGUAUGAGGACUGUGACGUUAUGUUUUAAAAAAAAAAAAAAAAAAAAAAAAAAAAAGGUGUUAAGUCACAAAAUGCGGUAAUAAAUAUUUCAUUUUUGAUUUUUUGUUAGGCUUUUGUGUUUUUAAUCAUGCUUAGUCGAGACUGAAGUUAUUGGGAGAGUUGUCUCAAAUAUAUUUCUUCAUGAACAUUGAAAAGAAAGGUUGGAAAAAUCAGAAACAAGCCUGUCAUCAGCAUUAAUAGAAUAAUUGGGUGAAAGAACAUCUGAGAUGAUAUAUUUCUGCUGAUUAUCGAUAUUAUUUUCAUACCAGACUAAACAAAACUCAAACUGUUCUCUCAUCAGCUUGUAUUUCAGAGAGCUGUGUCUAAUAUCUGUACUAUCUGCUAAUAACAUAGAAGCUCUGUGUGAGUUGUGAAGGCCCAUGUACGAGACCAGUAAGCCAUGUGUGUUAAGUGUACGUCGUGUACGUGUCUUUGUAUGUGUAUGUGCAUGUGCAUGCACAGCCACUGCCAUCCUUAACUCCAGCUGCUUAGCUCGGCACUGAAGAAUGGCUGUUAGCCCAGCAUAGGUUCAGAAGUUUCGGGAAGAGAAAAGCAGCUUUGACUUUAACGAGAGUUUUACCUGCGUGAGGAUUGCACAAUGUAGCUUUUGAGAUGGUUUUAUUGCUUUUCUUUUCUUCAUUUGUUUUCAGAAAAAAAAGAAAAAAAAAGAAAAAAAAAAGAAAAAAAAAAAAGAGAGAGAGAGAGACCCUCAGCUAAUGAGGGAAAAUGUUAAUUUGACAUUUUAAAUAUAAAUAGCUGGUGCAGAAUUCUGGACGAGGGUUGGUUUUACUUAAACGAAAGCCUGUGGCAUUUGGAAGAAAGUGAAGGAGAGUUUGAGCUGGGGGGGGGGGGGGAGGGAUUGUCGCUGUUAGAAAGGCAGCCUGCUUUCCUUGAGCUCGGUGGCACUGCUCAGCCAGCGGGAGCAGGAUGAGGCCCAAGGAGCAGGGAAAGGCUCUGUCUUUAUUUCGGGCGGAGGGGAGUGGGAAAGGGGUUGAAAUUAACUUUCUAGGAAGCCACUGUUACCGCUUUAACCAUUUGUAGAUUUGUGACCCUUCUCUGCCGUCCUCCUCCUCGUUCCAAAUGGCUGGCGUGUUAUUAAAAACUUGGGCUGACAACUUUUGCCGCCGGAGUGCCGUGAGAGGUUCAGCCUUGGAGUUAAUGUUUAAUUUCUGAUCUGAGUAAACGGACCCACGCUGCUGGCAACAGAAGGGAGGAUGCCAGGGGAAUGGGUGUGAGGAUUUAUUUAGCAGUCGGGUCCUGCUCUGUGGGCGUCUUUUUAGGGCACCCGUAUGAAACGUAAAGGAUGGUAGUUCCACACUAGGCUUGGAUGCUCUCUGUCCCCGUUAAAAUCAUGCCAACCCCUAAGUCUCGAACGAAGAGCACGCCCUGGGUCCCAGUUUUCACGUUCUGGUCACUGUGGAUGCGGGCAAUAAGAAGGCAAGGUUUGUUGUGUGGGCACGUUAAGAGGGAGGCUGUGUUUUUAAUCAGGACUUUAUUUUCUUGCAGAUAUUUUCUUCACAGUUUUAGGAGAAAAGCCAGAAAACGUCCUUGCCCAGGUAGAAGGACAGGGAACGAUUUAUCCGUAGUAGAUUGUUGGGUUUCUGUUGAACUGAACAUUGAUGUUGCUGUGUUGUCCUUUAUUUUCUUUCUCGUUUCCUUCCCCUUUUGGGCUGUGCUCGCCGUGAGACGUGCUGCUGCGAUCCAAGAUUUCGCUGCGGUUAAGGCGAAGAGAGGAGGGAAGCGCACCUCCGCCCGCGCGGCCGCCCCCAGCCCUACCCGCCGCGGCGAGCGGCCGCUGCGGGGCCGAAGAGGCGAUGCCGGGGGAGCCAAGCGCUGCCCCCCACCCCCCCACCCCCACUUCCUUUCCCUCCCGGCGGCAGAGCGAGCGAGCAAACUGCCCCCGACCAGGUUUGCGAGGGCCGGGGCCGGGGAGGGGGCCGGGCACGGGAUGCGGCGGGGGCACCCAGCAGCCGGGGCGCGCCGGCCCCCGCUCGCGGUGCGGCGCUGCCCCUCGGCCCCGCAGCCCCCGGGGCACGGAGCAGCUUGGGGGCCCGGCGCGGGGCCGGCCCGCACCCGCUGCUCCUGCGGGGGGGGGGGGGGGUGGGAACCCUCCCGCCGCCGCGGCCGCUUCCCUGGGGAGGGAGCCGGAGGCUCCGGCGGGCCGGGGGAGGCCGCCUGGGGACCGGGACCGGCUGCCGAGGCUUGGGCCGGCACUUCGUUUGUGCUCCUGUCCUUAUCCUUAUUGCUGGGAGAAGCGGGCGGCGAGCCCCCACGGCGCCGAACGAGGGCUAGCGGCUGCCAGGCGGGCGAAGCCCAGGGCCUUUGAGCCGAGGAGGACCGUGCGAGAUUCGAGGCUGGCGGGGGAAAGGUUUGAAGGCGGAUUUUAAUAUUAAUAGUUUUGGUGGCGAAAAGAGAGACAGAAGGGAGGUCGCUGCUCUGGGCAGAGUCCCUGCGACAGUGAUGAUGGAUGACCCCGCACAGCUAAACAACUCCUCCCCUUCAUCCCCACACAGUGUCAGAGCUACUUUACUUGCAGCUUUAGGAAUAAAAUAAAUAAACACCCUCGGCCCCUUCCUCGCAUCGAUUUAUGGAUCAUUAUGAAUCAAUUACUGCUCUCAAUAUUUUAGAAUUUGCUUAUAUAAAAAGGGGGUCUGCGGCCGGAAAAAUGCAUUAAUCUUUACCUUAGCAGGAAACACAGAACCUUCCCGUACAGCCCUGUAACUAAAAAAUCGCUACAAAUAAUUCGGGUUUAACCAUUUUCCAAAAGCCGCAUUUCUGGGGAGGUGACGGGCGCUGCAGCUGCGCAUCUCUACGGGCGACUUUCGAACUGGCGCGUAGGGAGCAAGCCGUGCAGCCACACGGAUAUGGUGGCAAAGAAGGGAGAAGCUGCUGAUUUAGGGACGCUGGACCUGAAACGUUACCAAUGGAUCUUUACACCUUCAAUGAAUCCGCAAAUCGAUGCGAGCUGGGCACCCGCGGCUGAACCCAAUCAGACUCAGAUUUUUGAAGUUAUUCCCUCCAAACGCAAAAGUUUACACGAAGCCUUUAAGCGGCGGGAUGCAACCCCGCCGACCCUCCCCACCCUACCGCUCCCCCCAGGAGGGAGAAGGGACAGGGUUUAGGACAGGGACAUGCGACCUAAAAUCCCCUAACCCCUUAUUUUCGCCCAGCGGAGCCGCUUCUCCCCGCUGCUCCGACCGCCAUCCGUUUCAGCCGCGGGUUGCUGGCGGCGGGGGCGAGCGGGCGGCUCUCCCCCCGGCCCUGGGAGCGCGCUCCCGCGGGGAGCGGCACUGCGCGGGCACUGCGCGGGGCGCGCAGGUAGGCGCCGCUGGAGCCGCGCCGCCCGCUCCCCCGCCGUGGCCCCGCAGUGACCCCAGCCCGGGGCUGCGGGGAGGUGAGAGGUGACGCCGUGAGCCAGCGCAGCCCUGGCCCUUUUAAAGCCACAGCUAAUCAGUCCUCCGCUAAAUUAAAACCUGGGAAGCCGAGGGGAAGCAAUUUCGUUGUGAAGAAUUACGGGGCGCGCACCGGCACGGAGGGGGCACGGCAAGGAGGGCUGCUCACAGCUCGGGGGACGGGGGGCUGCGAAAUGCCCGGCACGCCGUGGGGAUCCGGUGGAUCUUCGUGGAUAUGGGAUCGCACGCACGCACCCCAAUAAAAGCCCGGUUUUCCGCUGGAAAACUUCAGUCCCAUAAAGCGUGCGGCGGGCUGGGGAGCGCAGGACGCCCUGCGCUGGGUGGUUUAAUUGCCUCCCUCGCCAAGGGCUCGGCGUUUCAUUAGGGCACGUGAAGAAAUUAAAGUGGAAAAAAAGUGACAAAUUUUCCUGUCAGUUCAUUUGUCUUCAGUUGCGAGCUGUUCUUUAAGCUCCGUGAGAAAUCAGGAGCCAGCCCCCCCAGAGGUGCGGGGACGAGCGUGCUCGUGUGUGCGCCGCGCGUGUGCGCGCCCCCGAGGGAAAAACGCGUGGGACCUGGGCGCAGGGUGGCCCACGAACGGUGCAAAAGGGUGACGGUUCAAUUUUUCCUCCUAAAUUAGGCAAUAUCCCUCGAUUGGUUUGGCACCCAUUACUUUUUUAUAACUCCGAAUCAGGAAAGGAAGAACAAAUGUCUGCUGCGAGUAACCCGCUGUAGCGCAGUUGUUUUGCUGGGAUCGUGUGCAGUUGCAUACGCAACACGGGAAUGGCUGUGAACGAGAUGCACUGGGAAAAAAAUAAAAAAUAAAAACUGCUGGAGGAAAAA
Molecule: RNA transcript, 5379 nt
Organism: Oxyura jamaicensis (ruddy duck)
Lineage: Eukaryota; Metazoa; Chordata; Aves; Anseriformes; Anatidae
Exons: 3
Source: RefSeq, a predicted model, not a curated record